RNAcentral lists this ribosomal RNA (521 nucleotides) under uncultured bacterium. Its description in RNAcentral is "partial 16S ribosomal RNA". It matches the Rfam family "Bacterial small subunit ribosomal RNA", at positions 355 to 863 of the family's 1533-position model. The record is from RNAcentral.
UGGGGAAUUUUGGACAAUGGGCGCAAGCCUGAUCCAGCCAUGCCGCGUGCGGGAAGAAGGCCUUCGGGUUGUAAACCGCUUUUGUCAGGGAAGAAAUCUUCUGAGUUAGUACCUCGGGAGGAUGACGGUACCUGAAGAAUAAGCACCGGCUAACUACGUGCCAGCAGCCGCGGUAAUACGUAGGGUGCAAGCGUUAAUCGGAAUUACUGGGCGUAAAGCGUGCGCAGGCGGUUUUGUAAGACAGAGGUGAAAUCCCCGGGCUCAACCUGGGAACUGCCUUUGUGACUGCAAGGCUUGAGUGCGGCAGAGGGGGGAUGGAAUUCCGCGUGUAGCAGUGAAAUGCGUAGAUAUGCGGAGGAACACCGAUGGCGAAGGCAAUCCCCUGGGCCUGCACUGACGUUCAUGCACGAAAGCGUGGGGAGCAAAACAGGAUUAGAUAGCCCUGGUAGUCCACGCCCUAAAACGAUGUCAACUGGUUGUUGGGAAAGGUUUCCUUCUCAGUAACGUAGCUAACGCGUGAA